This 254-nucleotide ribosomal RNA is filed under the name uncultured bacterium. RNAcentral's name for it is "partial 16S ribosomal RNA". It matches the Rfam family "Bacterial small subunit ribosomal RNA", at positions 524 to 776 of the family's 1533-position model. The record is from RNAcentral. RNAcentral also lists the same sequence under 1 other name.
UACGGGGGGGGCAAGCGUUGUUCGGAAUUACUGGGCGUAAAGGGCUCGUAGGCGGCCAACUAAGUCAGACGUGAAAUCCCUCGGCUUAACCGGGGAACUGCGUCUGAUACUGGAUGGCUUGAGUUUGGGAGAGGGAUGCGGAAUUCCAGGUGUAGCGGUGAAAUGCGUAGAUAUCUGGAGGAACACCGGUGGCGAAGGCGGCAUCCUGGACCAACACUGACGCUGAGUGAGCGAAAGCCAGGGGAGCAAACGGG